RNAcentral lists this ribosomal RNA (907 nucleotides) under uncultured bacterium. RNAcentral describes it as "partial 16S small subunit ribosomal RNA". It matches the Rfam family "Bacterial small subunit ribosomal RNA", at positions 56 to 960 of the family's 1533-position model. The record is from RNAcentral.
UGNNNUCGAGCGAGAAAGUUCCUUCGGGAAUGAGUAGAGCGGCGGACGGGUGAGUAAUGCGUGAGUAUCUGCCUUUUAGUGAAGAAUACCCUUUGGAAACGAAGGUUAAUGCUGCAUACGUCUCGAAAGAGAGAAAGAUGGCCUUGUUGCUGUCGCUAAAAGAUGAGCUUGCGUUCUAUUAGUUUGUUGGUGGGGUAAAGGCCUACCAAGACGAUGAUGGAUAGCCGGCCUGAGAGGGUGAACGGCCACACUGGAACUUAGACACGGUCCAGACUCCUACGGGAGGCAGCAGUGAGGAAUAUUGCACAAUGGGCGAAAGCCUGAUGCAGCGACGUCGCGUGGAGGAUGAAGGUUUUCGGAUCGUAAACUCCUGUUAAGUGGGAAGAAAGACUUGUUCUUAAUAGGAACAAGGGAUGACGGUACCGCUAGAGAAAGCACCGGCUAACUUCGUGCCAGCAGCCGCGGUAAUACGAGGGGUGCAAACGUUAUUCGGAAUCACUGGGCGUAAAGGGUGUGUAGACGGCACAGCAAGUCAAUUAUAAAAUCUCCUGGUUCAACCGGGAGCCUGUAGUUGAAACUGCUGUACUAGAGGAUGGAAGAGAGAAGUGGAAUUCUCGGAGUAGCGGUAAAAUGCGUAGAUCUCGAGAGGAACACCGAUGGCGAANGCAGCUUCUUGGUCCAUAUCUGACGUUGAUACACGAAAGCGUGGGGAGCAAACAGGAUUAGAUACCCUGGUAGUCCACGCCGUAAACGAUGAUCACUAGAUGUUANNCUCGUCUUANAGUUUAGUGUCGCANCUAACGCGAUAAGUGAUCCGNCUGGGNAGUANGNUCGCAAGAUUAAAACUUAAAGNANNUGACGGGGGNCCGCACNAGCGGUGGAACNUGUGNUUUNANUUCGAUACUAC